UACGGGGGGGGCAAGCGUUGUUCGGAAUUACUGGGCGUAAAGGGCUCGUAGGCGGCCAACUAAGUCAGACGUGAAAUCCCCAGGCUCAACCUGGGAACUGCGUCUGAUACUGGUUGGCUUGAAUCCGGGAGAGGGAUGCAGAAUUCCAGGUGUAGCGGUGAAAUGCGUAGAUAUCUGGAGGAAUACCGGUGGCGAAGGCGGCAUCCUGGACCGGCAUUGACGCUGAGGAGCGAAGGCCAGGGGAGCAAACAGG
RNAcentral lists this ribosomal RNA (253 nucleotides) under uncultured bacterium. Its description in RNAcentral is "partial 16S ribosomal RNA". It matches the Rfam family "Bacterial small subunit ribosomal RNA", at positions 524 to 776 of the family's 1533-position model. The record is from RNAcentral.